GUCGAGAAUCUUUCACAAUGGGGGCAACCCUGAUGGAGCGACGCCGCGUGGAGGAUAAGGUCUUCGGAUUGUAAACUCCUGUCAUGCGUGAACAAGGUUGCUUGGAUAAUACCUGAGCAAAUUGAUGGUAGCGCAAGAGGAAGAGACGGCUAACUCUGUGCCAGCAGCCGCGGUAAUACAGAGGUCUCAAGCGUUGUUCGGAAUCACUGGGCGUAAAGGGUGCGUAGGUGGCGUGGCAAGUCAGAUGUGAAAGCCCGGGGCUCAACCUCGGAACUGCAGCCGAUACUGCCAUGCUAGAGUACUGGAGGGGUGACUAGAAUUCUCGGUGUAGCAGUGAAAUGCGUAGAUAUCGAGAGGAAUACCAAAGGCGUAGGCAGGUCACUGGACAGUUACUGACACUGAGGCACGAAGGCCAGGGGAGCGAACGGGAUUAGAAACCCCAGUAGUCC
Molecule: ribosomal RNA, 449 nt
Filed under: uncultured bacterium
Lineage: Bacteria
Description: partial 16S ribosomal RNA
Rfam family: Bacterial small subunit ribosomal RNA
Source: RNAcentral